GGAUUUUGCCGGCGUACCCGGAACGGUUUCCUCAGCUUUGGUUGGGCGGGGGAGGGUUGCGCAGCGGCGCGUUCUGGGAGCCAAAGAGACUGAGAUCUUCCCGGGCUCUUGAGAGUGUUACCUCUUUCGCGGCAACAAUGGCUCGGGUGUCUCGCUCGCGCAGCCCGGAGUGGGAAGCGUCGCAGUUCGUCGAAGAGCCCCGAGCCCGCGGGGCGGCCGCUCUCGUUCGCACUCUUGCUCUCGGCCCGGGGACCGGAAUGGCCUCGGCCAUCAGCUGGGUGGCCUCAGCCGAGGCUCCCGAAACCAGCUCUGCGGCCCUGGCUUGCAGUGUCGUUCGCGAGAGCGUCCCUCGGCACCUCGGUGCGCCCCUUCCGCUUCUGCGUCCUCGUCCGCUGAGCGCUGCCACCACUCGCGCCGCUGCGGGAGCGACGAGCCGGGACCCAGCCUCCUGGACCGGGAGGAGAGGACACAGAGAAGAGGCCACGUGAGGACACAGCAAGAAGGUGGCCGUCUACAAGCCAGGAAGAGAGGUCUCACCAGAAACCAACACUGAUGUCACCUUGAUCUUGCAUUUCUUUUUUUUUUUUUAAUUUUAUUUUUUUUUAUUUAUUUUUUUAAACAGCAGGUUCUUAUAAGCUAUCCAUUUUAUACAUAUUAGUGUAUAUAUGUCAAUCCCAAUCUCCCAAUUCAUCCCACCACCACCACCACCCCCCGCCACUUUCCCCCCUAGGUGUCCACACGUUUGUUCUGUACAUCAGUGUCUCAAUUUCUGCUCUGCAAACUGGUUCAUCUGUACCAUUUUUCUAGGUUCCACAUAUAUGCGUUAAUAUACGAUAUUUGUUUUUCUCUUUCUGACUUACUUCACUCUGUAUGACAGUCUCUAGAUCCAUCCACGUCUCUACAGAUGACUCAAUUUCGUUCCUUUUUAUGGCUGAGUAAUAUUCCAUUGUAUAUAUGUACCACAUCUUCUUUAUCCAUUCGUCUGUCAAUGGGCAUUUAGGUUGCUUCCAUGUCCUGGCUAUUGUAAAUACUGCUGCAAUGAACAUUGGAUGCAUGUGUCUUUUUGAAUUACGGUUUUCUCUGGGUAUAUGCCCAGUAGUGGGAUUGCUGGGUCAUAUGGUAAUUCUAUUUUUAGUUUUUUAAGGAACCUCCAUACUGUUCUCCAUAGUGGCUGUAUCAAUUUACAUUCCCACCAACAGUACAAGAGGGUUCCCUUUUCUCCACACCCUCUCCAACAUUUAUUGUUUGUAGAUUUUUUUAUGAUGGCCAUUCUGACUGGUCUGAGGUGAUAUCUCAUUGUAGUUUUGGUUUGCAUUUCUCUGAUGAUUAGUGAUGUUGAGCAUCCUUUCAUGUGUUUGUUGGCAAUCUGUAUAUCUUCUUUGGAGAAAUAUCUAUUUAGGUCUUCUGCCCAUUUUUGGAUUGGGUUGUUUGUUUUUUUGAUAUUGAGUUGCAUGAGCUGCUUGUAAAUUUUGGAGAUUAAUCCUUUGUCAGUUGCUUCAUUGGCAAAUAUUUUCUCCCAUUCUGAGGGUUGUCUUUUCGUCUUGUUUAUGGUUUCCUUUGCUGUGCAAAAGCUUUGAAGUUUCAUUAGGUCCCAUUUGUUUAUUUUUGUUUUUAUUUGCAUUACUCUAGGAGGUGGAACAAAAAAGAUCUUGCUGCAAUUUAUCUCAAAGAGUGUUCUUCCUGUGUUUUCCUCUAAGAGUUUUAUAGUGCCCGGUCUUACAUUUAGGUCUCUAAUCCAUUUUGAGUUUAUAUUUGUGUAUGGUGUUAGGGAGUGUUCUAAUUUCAUUCUUUUACAUGUAGCUGUCCAGUUUUCCCACCACCACUUAUUGAAGAGACUGUCUUUUCUCCAUUGUACAUCCCUGCCUCCUUUGUCAUAGAUUAGUUGACCAUAGGUGUGUGGGUUUAUCUCUGAGCUUUCUAUCCUGUUCCAUUGAUCUAUAUUUCUGUUUUUGUGCCAGUACCAUAUUGUCUUGAUUACUGUAGCUUUGUAGAAUAGUCUGAAGUCAGGGAGUCUGAUUCCUCCAGCUCCGUUUUUUUCCCUCAAGACUGCUUUGGAUAUUCGGGGUCUUUUGUGUCUCCAUACAAAUUUUAAGAUGAUUUGUUCUAGUUCUGUAAAACAUGCCAUUGGUAAUUUGAUAGGGAUUGCACUGAAUCUGUAGAUUGCUUUGGGUAGUAUAGUCAUUUUCACAAUGUUGAUUCUUCCAAUCCAAGAGCAUGGUAUAUCUCUCCAUCUGUUAGUAUCAUCUUUAAUUUCUUUCACCAGUGUCUUAUAGUUUUCUGCAUACAGGUCUUUUGUCUCUCUAGGUAGGUUUAUUCCUAGGUAUUUUAUUCUUUUUGUUGCCAUGGUAAAUGGGAGUGUUUCCUUAAUUUCUCUUUAAGAUUUUUCAUCAUUAAUGUAUAGGAAUGCAAGAGAUUUCUGUGCAUUAAUUUUGUAUCCUGCAACUUUACCAAGUUCAUUGAUUAGCUCUAGCAGUUUUCUGGUAGCAUCUUUAGGAUUCUCUAUGUAUAGUAUCAUGUCAUCUGCAAACAGAGACAGCUUUACUUCUUCUUUUCCAAUUUGGAUUCCUUUUAUUUCUUUUUCUUCUCUGAUUGCCAUGGCUAGGACUUCCAAAACUAUGUUGAAUGAUAGUGGUGAGAGUGGACAUCCUUGUCUCGUUCCUGAUCUUCGAGGAAAUGCUUUCAGUUUUUCACCAUUGAGAAUGAUGUUCGCUGUGGGUUUGUCAUAUAUGGGCUUUAUUAUGUUGAGGGAGGUUCCCUCUAUGCCCACUUUCUGGAGAGUUUUUAUCAUGAAUGCGUGUUGAAUUUUGUCAAAAGCUUUUUCUGCAUCUAUUGAGAUGAUCAUAUGGAUUUUAUUUUUCAAUUUCUUAAUAUGGUGAAUCACAUUGAUUGAUUUGUGUAUAUUGAAGAAUCCUUGCAUCCCUGGGAUAAAUCCCACUUGACCAUGGUGUAUGAUCCUUUUAAUGUGUUGUUGGAUUCUGUUUGCUAGUAUUUUGUUGAGGAUUUUUGCAUCUAUAUUCAUCAGUGAUAUUGGUCUGUAAUUUUCUUUUUUUGUAGUAUCUUUGUCUGGUUUUGGUAUCAGGGUGAUGGUGGCCUCAUAGAAUGAGUUUGGGAGUGUUCCUUCCUCUACAAUUUUUUGGAAGAGUUUGAGAAGGAUGGAUGUUAGCUCUUCUCUAAAUGUUUGAUAGAAUUCACCUGUGAAGCCAUCUGGUCCUGGACUUUUGUUUGUUGGAAGUUUUUUUUAAAUUAAUUUAUUUAUUUUUAUUUUUAUUUUUGGCUGCGUUGGGUCUCCAUCGCUGCGUGCGGGUCUCCCUUCAGCCGUGGCGAGCAGGGGCCACUCCCCGGCGCGGCGUGCGGGCCUCUCGCCGCGGUGGCCUCUCCCGCUGAGGAGCACGGGCUCCAAGCGCAUGGGCCCCAGCAGCCGCAGCUCUUGGGCUCUAGAGCGCAGGCCCAGCAGUUUUGGCGCGCGGGCCCAGCCGCUCCGUGGCAUGUGGGAUCCUCCCAGACCAGGGCUCGAACCCGUGUCCCCCGCAUUGGCAGGCGGACUCCUAAUCACUGUACCACCAGGGAAGUCCUGUUGGAAGAUCUUUAAUCAGUUUCAAUUUCAUUACUUGUGAUUGGUCUGUUCAUAUUUUCUAUUUCUUCCUGGUUCAGUCUUGGAAGGUUAUACCUUUCUAAGAAUUUGUCCGUUUCUUCCAGGUUGUCCAUUUUAUUGGCAUAGAGUUGCUUGUGAUAGUGUCCUAGGAUGCUUUAUAUUUCUGCGGUGUCUGUUGUAACUUCUCCUUUUUCAUCUCUAAUUUUAUUGAUCUGAGUCCUCUCCCUCUUUUUCUUGAUGAGUCUGGCUAAUGGCUUAUCAAUUUUGUUUAUCUUCUCAAAGAACCAGCUUCUAGUUUUAUUGAUUUAUGCUAUUGUCUUCUUUGUUUGUAUUUCAUUUAUUUCUGCUCUGAUCUUUAUGAUUUCUUUCCUUCUACUAACUUUGGGUUUUGUUUGUUCUUCUUUCUCUACUUCCUUUAGGUGUAAGGUUAGGUUGUUUAUUUGAGCUGUUUGUUGUUUCUUGAGGUAGGAUUGUAUUGCUGUAAACUUCCCUCUUAGAACUGCUUUUGCUGCGUCCCCUAGGUUUUGGAUUGUCGUGUUUUCAUUGUCAUUUGUCUCUAGGUAUUUUUUGAUUUCCUCUUUAAUUUCUUCAGUGAUCUCUUGGUUAUUUAGUAACGUAUUGUUUAGCCUCCAUGUGUUUGUGUUUUUUAUGUUUUUUUCCCUGUAAUUGAUUUCUAAUCUCAUAGCGUUGUGGUCAGAAAAGGUACUUGAUAUGAUUUCAGUUUUCUUAAAUUUACUGAGGCUUGAUUUGUGACCCAAGAUGUGAUCUAUCCUGGAGAAUGUUCCAUGCGCAGUUGAGAAGAAAGUGUAAUCUGCAGUUUUUGGAUGGAAUGUCCUAUAAAUAUCAGUUAAAUCUAUCUGGUCUAUUGUGUCAUUUAAAGCUUGUGUUUCCUUAUUAAUUUUCUGUUUGGAUGAUCUGUCCAUUGGUGUAAGUGAGGUGUUAAAGUCCCCCAUUAUUGUUGUGUUACUGUCGAUUUCCUCUUUUAGAGCUGUUAGCAGUUGCCUUAUGUAUUGAGGUGCUCCUAUGUCGGGUGCAUAUAUAUUUAUAAUUGUUAAAUCUUCUUCUUGGAUUGAUCCCUUGAUCAUUAUGUAGUGUCCUUCCUUGUCUCUUGUAACAUUCUUUAUUUUAAAGUCUAUUUUAUCUGAUAUGAGUAUAGCUACUCCAGCUUUCUUUUGAUUUCCAUUUGCAUGGAAUAUCUUUUUCCAUCCCCUCACUCUCAGUCUGUAUGUGUCCCUAGGUCUGAAGUGGGUCUCUUGUAGACAGCAUAUAUAUGGGUCUUGUUUUUGUAUCCAUUCAGCGAGCCUGUGUCUUUUGGUUGGAGCAUUUAAUCCAUUCAUGUUUAAGGGAAUUAUCGAUAUGUAUGUUCCUAUUACUGUUUUCUUAAUUGUUAUGGGUUUCUUUUUGUAGGUCCUUUUCUUCUCUUGUGUUUCCCACUUAGAGAAGUUCCUUUAGCAUUUGUUGUAGAGCUGAUUUGGUGGUGCUGAAUUCUCUUAGCUUUUGCUUGUCUGUAAAGCUUUUGAUUUCUCCAUCGAAUCUGAAUGAGAUCCUUGCCAGGUAGAGUAAUCUUGGUUGUAGGUUCUUCCCUUUCAUCCCUUUAAGUAUAUCAGGCCACUCCCUUCUGGCUUGUAGAGUUUCUGCUGAGAAAUCAGCUGUUAACCUUAUGGGAGUUCCCUUGUAUGUUAUUUGUCAUUUUUCCCUUGCUGCUUUCAAUAAUUUUUCUUUAAAUUUUGCUAAUUUGAUUACUGUGUGUCUCAGCGUGUUUCUCCUUGGGUUUAUCCUGUAUGGGACUCUCUGUGCUUCCUGCACUUGGGUGGCUAUUUCCUUUCCCAUGUUAGGGAAGUUUUUGACUAUAAUCUCUUCAAAUAUUUUCUCUGGUCCUUUCUCUCUCUCUUCUUCUUCUGGGACCCCUAUAAUGUGAAUGUUGUUGCGUUUAAUGUUGUCCCAGAGGUCUCUUAGACUGUCUUCAUUUCUUUUCAUUCUUUUUUCUUUAUUCUGUUCCGCAGCACUGAAUUCCAUGAUUCUGUCUUCCACAUCACUUAUCCAUUCUUCUGCCUCAGUUAUUCUGCAAUUGAUUCCUUCUAGGAAUUUGUAUUUUUCAUUUCAGUUAUUGUACUGUUCAUCUUUGUUUGUUUGUUCUUUAAUUCUUCUAGGUCUUUGUUAAACAUUUCUUGCAUCUUCUCUAUCUUUGCCUCCAUUCUUUCUCCGAGGUCCUGGAUCAUCUUCACUCUCAUUAUUCUGAAUUCUUUUUCUGGAAGGCUGUGUAUCUCCACUUCAUUUAGUUGUUUUUCUGGGGUUUUAUCUUGUUCCUUCAUCUGGUACAUAGCCCUCUGCCUUUUCAUCUUGUCUCUCUGUGAACAUGGCUUUUGUUCCACAGGCUGCAGGAUUGUAGUUCUUCUUGCCUCUGCUGUCUGCCCUCUGGUGGAUGAGGCUAUCUAAGAGGCUUGUGGAAGUUUCCUGAUGGGAGGGACUGGUGGUGGGUAGAGCUGGCUGUUGCUUGGUGGGCAGAGCUCAGUAAAACUUUAACCAGCUUGUCUGCUGAUGGGUGGGGCUGGGUUCUCUCCUUGUUGGUUGUUUGGCCUGAGGCGACCCAACACUGGAGCCUACCCAGGCUCUGGUGGGGCUAAUGGCGGACUCUGGGAGGGCUCACGCCAAGGAGGACUUCCCAGAACUUCUACUGCCAGUGUCCUUGUCCCUGUGGUGAGCCACAGCUUCCCCCUGCCUCUGCAGGAGACCCUCCAACACUAGCAGGUAGGUCUGGUUCAGUCUCCUAUGGGAUCACUCCUCCUUCCCCUAGGUCCUGAUGUGCACACUACUUUGUGUGUGCCCUCCAAGAGUGGAGUCUCUGUUUCCCCCAGUCCUCUCAAAGUCCUGCAAUCAAAUCCCGCUAGCCUUCAAAGUCUGAUUCUCUAGGAAUUCCUCCUCCCGUUGCCAGACCCCAAGGUUGGGAAGCCUGACAUGGGGCUCAGAACCUUCACUCCAGUGGGUGGACUUCUGUGGUAUAAGCAUUCUCCAGUUUGUGAGUCACCCACCUAGCAGUUAUGGGAUUUGAUUUUAUCGUGAUUGCGCCCCUCCUACCAUCUCAUUGUGGUUUCUCCUUUGUUUUUGGAUGUGGGGUAUCUUUUUUGGUGAGUUCCAGUGUCUUCCUGUCGAUGAUUGUUCAGCAGUUAGUUGUGAUUCCAGUGCUCUCGCAAGAGGGAGUGAGAGCACGUCCUUCUGCUCCGCCAUCUUGAACCAAUCCUCGAUCUUGGAUUUCUAACCUCCAGAACGCUCUGAUGAACAUACACCAGUAGAGGACGAAGAGCCAAAGAAAAGCACCACUUCAGCUUCUACUUCAGAAGAAAAAAAGAAGAAGAAGACGAAGUCUAGUCAUUCGAAAGAAAGACCCAAGAAAAGGAGGAAGAAAAAAUCAUCUAAAAGAAAACACAAGAAGUAUUCUGAUGAUAGUGACAGUGACUCUGAUUCUGAAACAGACUCCAGUGAUGAAGAUACAAAGGAAAGCAAAAAAAAAAAAGCCCAGCAAAAGAAAAAGAAGAAACACAGAUGAUCAGCCUGGCAGUUUCACAUGAGGAAGACAGUAUGAAGAAAGCCAAGGUCUGACCGCUUCUUUUCAGUGAUCCAUUAAUCUGGAAUAUUAAUCAGGGCCUCCCUCUUGCUUCGAGCAGCAGUAAACCAAAAUGUUCCCUUUUAGUGUUUAAUCGUCAGAUCUAGGGUCCUUUCAAGGACACUGAAUGAGACAAAAUACAUUUGAAGGCAUAAUUGUCACUUCUGAGCCGGGGAAGACACAACAAUAUGGCUCCUGUGGUGGGGGGAGGGGUGAAAAGGGAGAAGAGCCUCUUUCUGGCCUCGAUGGAGGCUCCUCUUGUGUUCCCUUUGAAGCAGCAGUUCCUUUGGGCCAGAAUGGUUUGUUCCCCUAUAUCCUUCACAAAAAGGGAGGGUAGUGAACAGAAUCUGGAGCAUCUAGAACAAAACUAGGUGAAUAUUUGUAUGCUACCUUCCCAUAAAGCCCUAUGAAUAGUAAUUUCUUAGGAAGGUUCCUUUAGAGUCCAGGCUUGUGCCUGAGCUCCUCAUCAUGAAUGGAGCUCGGCCCCAUUUUGCAGCACACUGUUCUCUCACUAGCGACUUUUCCCACCUCAUCUUACAUGUGUAUGUAUCUGAGAAGUGCAGGGUCUAGUGAUAGUGCUUAGGGACGUCACCUCAUGAAAAGAGACCUUCUUGACAUUCCUUAGCAAUUCUUAUCCAUAUAAUACUAACCCCAUUUGGCACAUAAAAACAAGUAUACAAGAGAAUCACAUCUUUACUGAAAAUACAAAAAAUAUGCCCUAUUAAAAACACAGUGCACUGUUUUCAUUUAUUCAAUUCAUUUAUCAGGCAUUUGGUGAACUGCUCUUGAGGUGCUAUGAAAAAUUUCAAUCUGGCAAAAAAAUACUUUGGAAAAACUCACAGAAAACAUGCCUUACAAGCUAGGGACUAGAAAAUGAAUGCUGAUGACAGGGACCCAUGCCAGGCCAAGCAAAGCUAAGCCAAAGGAAGGCACAGGUGGAGGAGGCAAAGGCAGACAAGGCAAGGAUGGCAUGGGUGGCCCAGGUAUUUGGGGCUGCAGUGGCACCAGAGGAACCCAACUCCAGUUGGGCUCCAGAAUAAAUAUGGCAUUAUAGGGUCCAUCCAGGAUUAUGAUGACAGGGUGACCCAUGGCCAUGGGGGAUGUAUUUCUGAGAAUUAAACCCCUCUGAUACCUCCAACACUUGGCCCUCCCAUUCUUAAACCAAAACUUCAAUCAGAGGGAAAAAAGGGAUUGGUUUAGUAUAUUGAACAGUUAAUGUCUUAAUAGAAAAACACAACGUGCAAAUCUAUAUGCUAUUGAUGAAAUGGAAGAAACUAUUUCAUUAUUGCUCAAAUAUCUUAGGAAAGUUAAUACUGCACCCCUCCCUUCAGCCCACCCUUAGUGAUCGUAGGCUAUACGUGCCAAGCUCUGGUCUAGGCUUAUUGCUUUGUUCCUGUCCUCCCACUUUUAGUACUCUUUAACUAUUUUCCAUGUCCUACACACAAACCAGCUAGUGAAUUGCACUGUGUCCUUGCUGUUAAUGCUUUGCCUGGUAACAGGGUAAAGACAUGUUAGUGUUCUGACAGCAGUCCAGCUGCUCUGCCCCUCCUCACUAGGGACAGUGUCACCCUGGUGAUGGGGGGAGCUGAGCAUGGUAAAAACUCAACCCCUUUCAAAGUCAUACUGAGGGAAGCAGCCCCUAUUUUAAAACCCCAUCUUCAGUCUGAAGUAAAUAAUAGGAAGGAACAUGUUGGAUUUUUAGACAGAAGGCUUCCUUCAAGGAUGACUAAGGGGUCAUUCACCCUCUGAAACAUCUUGAGAGUUAGAAAGGUGGUCUGGCAAGGGGGCCCAGGGGGGUUGUGACUUGUCUUACUGGGACGUGAGAGUUGCUGAAGAUCUGGUCACUGCCUUGAUAUCUUAGUCUUUAAUGCUAAAGAAAGUUCAACCUAACUAGGUUCAACUCCAUUCAAACCCAGUUUAUGCCCAGCCAAUAACUUGGAGGGAAAGAGGCAGACCACUGUCAAUUCUGCAUGUGCCAACCUGCCCUCAUCCUCCAGUCUUCGUGGGCUGUCAGCUAACCCGGUUCUACCUCCAGGUUCAGGAUUCUGGCUGGAAGGUGAUGUUGCCGGAGUAGGUCCUGCCAGCCCUACUCCUCAACUAGGAGAUCCCAACACCAACAAGAGUUCUAAGGCAGGAGAGUGGAACUAGGCAUUUUAGAACAAGGUCAACAACAGUGUGGCACCCCCGUGUUCACUGCAGCAUUAUUUGCAAUAGAUAAGGAAACAACCUAAUUGUCUAUCCACGGAUGAAUGGAUAAAGAAAAUGUGUAUACAGGCACAUGUCAGAGAUAUUGUAGGUGUGGUUCCAGACCACUGCAACAAAGCGAAUAUCGCAAUAAAGUGAGCCACACAGAUUUUUUGGUUUCCUAAUACAUGUAAAAGUUAUUUUUACACCAUACUGUAGUCUAUUAAGGUAUGCAAUAGCAUUAUGUCUUAAGAAACAACAUAAAGGGCAUCCCUGGUGGCCCAGUGGUUAAGAACCCGCCUGCCAAUGCAGGGGACAUGGGUUCGAGCCUUGGUCUGGGAAGAUCCCACAUGCCACGGAGCAACUACACCCACGUGCCACAACUACUGAGCCUGCGAGCCACAAAUACUAAAGCCCGUGCACCUAGAGCCCAUGCUCCGCAACAAGAGAAGCCACUGCAAUGAAAAACCCGCGCAAUGAAGGGUAGCACCCGCUCACUGCAACUAGAGAAAGACCGCACACAGCAACGAAGACCCAACACAGCCAAAAAUAAAUAAAUAAAUAUUUUUUUUAAUUUUAAAAAUACCACAACGUAAAUACCUUAAAAAUACUUUAUGGGUGAGGAGAUUCAAGAUGGCGGAAGAGUAAGACACAGAGAUCAACUUCCUCCCCACAAGUACGUCAGAACUACAUGUGGAACAACUCCUACAGAACACAUACUGAACGCUGGCAGAAGACCUCAGACCUCCCAAAAGGCAAGAAACUCCCCACGUACCUGGGUAGGGCAAAAGAAAAAAGAAAAAACAGAGACAAAAGAAUAGGGACGGGACCUGCAGCAAUGGGAGGGAGGUGUGAAGGAGGAGAGGUUUCCACGCACUAGGAAGCCCCUUCGCGGGCGGAGACUGCGGGUGGCGGAGGGGGGGAGCUUCGGAGCCACGGAGGAGAGCGCAGCAACAGGGGUGCGGAGGGCAAAGUGGAGAGAUUCCCGCACAGAGAACCGGUGCCGAACAGCACUCACCAGCCCGAGAGGCUUGUCUGCUCACCCGCUGGGGCGGGCGCGGGGCUGGGAGCUGAGGCUCGGGCUUCGGAGGUCAGAUCCCAGGGAGAGGACUGGGGUUGGCAGCGUGAACACAGCCUGAAGGGGGCUAGUGCGCCACGGCUAGCCGGGAGGGAGUCCGGGAAAAAGUCUGGAGCUGCCGAAGAGGCAAGAGACUUUUUCUUGCCUCUUUGUUUCCUGGUGCACGAGGAGAGGGGAUUAAGAGCGCAGCUUAAAGGAGCUCCAGAGACGGGCGCGAGCCAUGGCUAUCAGCACAGACCCCAGAGAUGGGCAUGAGACGCUAAGGCUGCUGCUGCAGCCACCAAGAAGCCUGUGUGCAAGCACAGGUCACUAUCCACACCUCCCCUCCCGGGAGCCUGUGCAGCCCGCCACUGCCAGGGUCCCGUGAUCCAGGGACAACUUCCCCGGGAGAACGCAUGGCGCACCUCAAGCUGGUGCAACGUCACGCCGGCCUCUGCCGCCACAGGCUCGCCCCGCAUCUGUACCCCUCCCUUCCCCCAGCCUGAGCGAACCAGAGCCCCCGAAUCAGCUGCUUCUUUAACCCCAUCCUGUCAGCGAAGAACAGACGCCCUCAGACGACCUACACACAGAGGCAGGUCCAAAUCCAUAGCUGAACCCCGGGAGCUGUGCGAACAAAAAAGAGAAAGGGAAAUCUCUCCCAGCAGCCUCAGGAGCAGCAGAUUAAAUCUCCACAAUCAACUUGAUGUACCCUGCAUCUGUGGAAUACCUGAAUAGACAACAAAUCAUCCCAAAUUGAGGAGGUGGACUUUGGGAGCAACGAUAUAUAUAUUUUCCCUUUUUCUCUUUUUGUGAGUGUGUAUGUAUAUGCUUCUGUGUGUGAUUUUGUCUGUAUAGCUUUGCUUUUACCAUUUGUCCUAGGGUUCUCU
Balaenoptera ricei (Rice's whale) is the source of this 11321-nucleotide RNA transcript. RefSeq lists it as uncharacterized. Lineage: Eukaryota; Metazoa; Chordata; Mammalia; Artiodactyla; Balaenopteridae. The transcript is spliced from 6 exons. The record is from RefSeq and is a predicted model, not a curated record.